Molecule: unclassified non-coding RNA, 331 nt
Filed under: Hevea brasiliensis (rubber tree)
Lineage: Eukaryota; Viridiplantae; Streptophyta; Magnoliopsida; Malpighiales; Euphorbiaceae
Source: RNAcentral
AAGGACCUGAAAGGGCAGGAUCUUCUGUUUCUCACGGUCGUAUGCAACCAGUUCACAGUCAAGAACAAAUGAAGUUGCAGAUGAUUUCUUCAAUCUUGAGAUAGCAGUAACAACGUCAGGAAACUUUCCAGUAUUUCUUUCUGCAUUUCGGCUGUAUAUCUCAACGGAACCAUCUUCCAUGUAGUGUAUCUGGGCACGUUCACCAUCAUACUUGUAUUCACAUGUGAACUCCAUAUCCUGAAACUUAUCAAGAAUUUCAGAUACUCCUUUGGUUGGCUUAGCUAGCAUAGGUCCAACAGGAACACCAGGUGAGAAACCGCAUGUUUCUGAA